This 1575-nucleotide long non-coding RNA is filed under the name Homo sapiens (human). RNAcentral's name for it is "HSALNT0113833". The record is from RNAcentral. Lineage: Eukaryota; Metazoa; Chordata; Mammalia; Primates; Hominidae.
AGAAAAACUUCGUCUUUAUUUCAGUUCUCGUGACAUGAAUGAGACUUGGCUUCCAUCACAAACUUGGCAGUCAGCGAGGCUUCCAGAGGAUUCUAUUAGCAAUGAUGAUGAUGAUGGUUGAGAUGGUGCAAAGCCCUUUAUACUUUUCUGAGGCUCUUUCACAUGCCUUGUGAAAAAUUCUCACCAUUUAACCUUAAAACACCAUCAGAUAAGAAAUGUAUAUAUGCAAAGUAUUUUUUUUUCCAGGAAAAGAAAAUAGAUGUAAUUCAAUCUGGGUUCUUAAAUUUUUCAGAUCUAAAUGAACUUUAAAAUAUGCUUGGAUAUAUCUCUGAGGAAUAUAACCUUAACAUUUUUCAGUGUUCAACCUAGACUAAUAAUAAUAUCAGCAACUCUGGUUUGGGGAUCACAGAACUCACAAACCAUUCACAUCUGGCACAUUUCAUACCCCUUUCCUGAUUCUACUGUAAGAACAGUCAACAGGAAAUAUGUUCACCGUAAAUGACUGUGAGGCAGUGAUGCAUGCUGCAGCUUCAUUCUUCUGGGAGAGUCUGAGUUUCCACCAUAAGAAAACUAUUGUUGGAGUGUCAUAUGGGCAUCUCUCUCAUCUCCCAGAUCGAUGGCAUCGUCUAGGACUUCCCACAUAGACAAGAUAAACGAAAGGCUUCCAUGGACAGCUUGAGCCCUGAGGGCGGUGCCGAGCUGACAGCCUGGAACAUUGACCAACGCGCUGCAACUGACGUGUAAAUCACCCUCCGACUAGGGGUCCCGAAUCUGGAAAAGGAAAUGUCAUCUUUGGACUUUGCCCAUCAUGUGUUUAUGCACGAACAGUCCUUUCAAGUGCCUCUCUCCACCUUUGCAGACAAGUGGCAUAAUGCAGGUAGAGAUCACAUUUUUGGAGUUUAUUCCUAAGACUGGCUGUUAGUUUUUAUAAACAUUCCUUUUAUCUGAAAUUUAACCAUAAUUUUUUUUUCUUAAAAUGCCAUAUCUUCCUAUAUUUAGAGGGCAGGAUGCCAAGUCCAUAUCUACUCAAUAUAUCAAAUAUUUUCAGUAAGCCAGGAAUUAGAGCUUCCUUUUGUAAUCAACAAAACUCCUGGUAACUUCAUCUUUACUAACAGCCUCAUCCUUUCCUGCCAUUUCUUUGUUUGUUUGUUUAAUAAUUUGGUAGUACUGCUGUUGCCUUGCUUCCUGGCACCACUAGCCUGUCUGGGCAUGAUCUUUCUUUCCCCUCUUCCAAUUACUGGCCUCUGUUUGCCUCAAAGAGCCCACUUCUUAGGCACCACCUUCCCAACCCCUCUAAGCCACUGCUUACUUGGAUUGUGAGCUGUCGGCCCUUGUUCCCGGCUUCUGAUAUCACACCUGCUGGCCAGGCUGAAAUUCCUCCCUGCAUCCUCUGCAGCUGCCACUCUCAGAGCCAUUCCUCCUAGAUCCCACAUGUGCAUUCCAGGGCCUCUCAGUUGGCAUCUUCGCCAUGCAGGCAAUUUGGUCAAGUCAUUGUAGCAUCCUGAGACAUUCACUCUAUCCAUAUAAUUUAUGCAUUGGCCAUUUCUUGUCCUUUGAGAAAUACCACUGAUUGUC